CCCCCGGCGGCAAAUGCUAACUCUCUCUGUAGGUGAACCUGCGGAAGGAUCAUUAUCGAGUUCGGGUCCCCAGGGCCCAACUUCCAACCCUUUGUUUAUCUACCCUGUUGCUUUGGCGGGCCGUGGUCCACGCGACCCCGUCGGCCCCGGCUGGCGAGCGCCCGUCGGAGGCCAAUCAAACUCUUUUAACCAUGUCGUCUGAGAAAAAAUAAAUAAGCAAAAACUUUCAACAACGGAUCUCUUGGUUCU
RNAcentral lists this unclassified non-coding RNA (249 nucleotides) under rhizosphere metagenome. RNAcentral's name for it is "partial ribosomal RNA internal transcribed spacer region". The record is from RNAcentral.